This is a long non-coding RNA of Lathyrus oleraceus (garden pea), 563 nucleotides long. RefSeq lists it as uncharacterized. The transcript has 3 exons. The record is from RefSeq and is a predicted model, not a curated record. Lineage: Eukaryota; Viridiplantae; Streptophyta; Magnoliopsida; Fabales; Fabaceae.
UAAUUGGCGGAUCUGUUACUUACAAUGAUCAACCAUAUUCCAAGUUCUUAAAAAGCAGGUAGGUUUCUUUUGACGAUUUUCUAUGCAACACUGCUUCUGAAUGUUAAUAUACUGACAAGUGAAGAAUGAUGUUAUGUUUCCUCACCUAACUGUAAAAGAAACAUUGACAUAUGCAGCUUGUUCACAUAUGGUAUCUAUGAGCUAGGCUUGGAGAGAACAUGUGUCAAGGAGUGUCUGGUGGAGAGAGGAAAGAGUUUGUAUUGGCAAUGAGAUCAUAAUCAAUCCUUCUCUUCUAUUAGUUUGGAUUCUACAUCAGCCUUGGGGAUUGUUCAAAUGCUACAUGACAUAGCUGUGGUUUGCAUCUAUCAGUUUAAGGGCAGAGUUGUUAAUGUUGGUUUCAAGCGCCUGGAGAAGAGUCUAAGGAGGAUUUUGAGGAGCAUGCUGCGAAAGUCAAGACUCUAAAAGAGAGUCCAUCAAAUGAAAACUUGCUUAUCCUUUAUGGAUUGUACAAGCAAGCCACUCUUGGACCUGUUACCACCGGUGAGUUUUCUUUUAUUUAAGAA